AUAAAAAGACGGGUCAGAGGUGUGAGAGAUUCCAGUUGUUAAUGUGCUUCAAAUUAAUUAAUCGUGUUCUUUGAGAAGCUUAAUUGAAAAAUGUGUAUUAGUUUUGUUUCGAUUUUAUUGUUUUGUUGAAGUAAAUAAUGAAAUGUUGCCUCUUGACAUGGGGCGAAAAACUGUAUCUCCAAUAUGACAACAACUUAUAGUUUCUGUACUGCUGAGGAUAGGGAAUCACUCAAUAAGAGAACGCGCUCUUCUUAAAGGAGUUUCACUUUACGUAGUGGUCCAGAUCUCCCAAAAAAUAAAGCAAAACUCAUCUAUGAUUUCUUUAAAGCGGGCAAAUUGUGGAUGAAAAAAGAAGACCCGGUCUAGACUAGUACGGAAAGUUAUGGCAAUUACCACUGCGAAACGCAGGACUUUUUUGUGGGAGCUCAAUAAAUGGGUUCAUGAUGCUGGCGUAAAAAUUUUUGAGCAAACUUUGCGAAAGAGAUUGGAAGAGCCAACUUUAAAUAACAAUGUUAGACAUCUUCGUUCACCUUUACGCAAGAUAGCACCCCACCCCAUGCCACAUCGCGAAAUCCAUAAAGAAUAAGGUUUUGUUUCACACAAAACCUUAAAAAUUACGUUAGAGGAAAAUGUCUCUUUUACUUCCAGGGCCAGGAAACUCGUCUGAUUUGAACAGUGUGGAAUGGAGUAAAGAGGCUUCUUUACAAAGAACACAACACUAAUCGAUCAAUUUUAAUGGAUAACAUUAAAAAAAAUUGGCGUGACGUGCCUGAGAUAAAAGGGUGCAUCAUAGCUUGUUGCAAAGCAACAAACAACGGGUGUCUACGCUAAAAAUUAAUAUAAAAAAAAAUUAUAUGCGUAUAUAUCUUUCUAAGAUCUACUGCUACAAUAUUAUAUAAACAUUUUUUAUGAAUAUAUCAGUUCUCCUACCGAAAAAUAUAUUUAAAUAAAAACUUUAUCAAAUUU
Molecule: long non-coding RNA, 966 nt
Organism: Hermetia illucens (black soldier fly)
Lineage: Eukaryota; Metazoa; Arthropoda; Insecta; Diptera; Stratiomyidae
Exons: 2
Source: RefSeq, a predicted model, not a curated record